This 663-nucleotide ribosomal RNA is filed under the name Synechococcus elongatus FACHB-242. RNAcentral describes it as "bacterial SSU rRNA". It matches the Rfam family "Bacterial small subunit ribosomal RNA", at positions 99 to 795 of the family's 1533-position model. The record is from RNAcentral. Lineage: Bacteria; Bacillati; Cyanobacteriota; Cyanophyceae; Synechococcales; Synechococcaceae.
CGGACGGGUGAGUAACGCGUGAGAAUCUGCCUACAGGACGGGGACAACAGUUGGAAACGACUGCUAAUACCCGAUGUGCCGAGAGGUGAAACAUUUAUGGCCUGUAGAUGAGCUCGCGUCUGAUUAGCUAGUUGGUGGGGUAAGGGCCUACCAAGGCGACGAUCAGUAGCUGGUCUGAGAGGAUGAUCAGCCACACUGGGACUGAGACACGGCCCAGACUCCUACGGGAGGCAGCAGUGGGGAAUUUUCCGCAAUGGGCGCAAGCCUGACGGAGCAACGCCGCGUGGGGGAGGAAGGUUUUUGGACUGUAAACCCCUUUUCUCAGGGAAGAAGAAAGUGACGGUACCUGAGGAAUAAGCCUCGGCUAAUUCCGUGCCAGCAGCCGCGGUAAUACGGGAGAGGCAAGCGUUAUCCGGAAUUAUUGGGCGUAAAGCGUCCGCAGGCGGUUAAUCAAGUCUGUUGUCAAAGCGUGGGGCUCAACCUCAUACAGGCAAUGGAAACUGAUUGACUAGAGUAUGGUAGGGGUAGCGGGAAUUCCAGGCGUAGCGGUGAAAUGCGUAGAUAUCUGGAAGAACACCAGCGGCGAAAGCGCGCUACUGGGCCAUAACUGACGCUCAUGGACGAAAGCUAGGGGAGCGAAUGGGAUUAGAUACCCCAGUAGUC